AAUGAAAAAGUUUUUUUUAAGAGUCGCAGCAGUAGAGGCGGCACAACUAUAACAACAUGUGAAUAACCCGCCCACUCUAAAGCGGUACUAAACUGCAGUAGAAAAGCAAACCGAGCCGAGCCGAG
Molecule: long non-coding RNA, 125 nt
Organism: Sinocyclocheilus rhinocerous
Lineage: Eukaryota; Metazoa; Chordata; Actinopteri; Cypriniformes; Cyprinidae
Exons: 3
Source: RefSeq, a predicted model, not a curated record